UGUAGUUCGUUCUAAUUCCAUGCUAAUGACUUUCUAGAGUAUCUAAUUGAGGUGCUUAUCAUAUUUAUUAUGUGGCUAGUUAUGAUCAGAUUAACUAUCUUUGUCACUAUUCAUUACUUCAUAUAUCUUUUAUGUGACACUUACCCCUGUAUGAAAGAGUUAGAUAAUUGUUCUCAAUUACAUAUGCAAUGAUAGAUACUCAAUCUCAUAUUCUAUUCUGUAAUCACUAUUGAUGAUUGCUAAUCCCUUCCAAGUGGUAAAAAUAUAAAUAACGAUACCUGGAAUACUUCCCGGUUAAAAUGCUACAUCGGUAUUAAUCUGUGCGCU
RNAcentral lists this long non-coding RNA (327 nucleotides) under Sorghum bicolor (sorghum). RNAcentral's name for it is "long non-coding RNA (SBIC_LNC013924)". Lineage: Eukaryota; Viridiplantae; Streptophyta; Magnoliopsida; Poales; Poaceae. The record is from RNAcentral.